GUCGAGAGGCUUCGGCAAUGGGGGAAACCCUGACCGAGCGACGCCGCGUGGGCGAUGAAGGCCGUUAGGUUGUAAAGCCCUGUCGAGCGGGAAGAAACGCAAAUGGGUAAACAAUCCAUUUGUCUGACGGUACCGCUAAAGGAAGCUCCGGCUAACUCCGUGCCAGCAGCCGCGGUAAUACGGGGGGAGCAAACGUUGUUCGGAAUUACUGGGCGUAAAGGGCGUGCAGGCGGCCUUGUAAGAGGGAUGUGAAAUGCCCUGGCUCAACCAGGGAACUGCAUUCCAGACUGCAAGGCUUGAGUAUAGGAGAGGAUGGGGGAAUUCCCGGUGUAGCGGUGAAAUGCAUUGAUAUCGGGAGGAACACCAGUGGCGAAGGCGCCCAUCUGGCCUAAUACUGACGCUCAGGCGCGAAAGCUAGGGGAGCAAACAGGAUUAGAAACCCCAGUAGUCC
RNAcentral lists this ribosomal RNA (451 nucleotides) under uncultured bacterium. RNAcentral's name for it is "bacterial SSU rRNA". It matches the Rfam family "Bacterial small subunit ribosomal RNA", at positions 354 to 796 of the family's 1533-position model. The record is from RNAcentral.